AAACUAGGAUUAGAUACCCUAUUAUUCUAAUUGAUUGAUCUUGAAGGAGUAAGGUAGGAAGCUAAAAUUAAAUAAUUUGGCGGUGACUUAACUUUACAGAGGAACUUGUCCUGUUGUUGAUGGACCUCAAUAUAUCUAACUCUUUCUUAUGUUUGUAUACCGUUGUUGUUAGAUUACCUUUAGAGAGGGGAAGAGUAUUCAUUGUAAGUUUUAGGCUUUUACUUAAAAUCAAGGUGUAGUGUAUGGAAGAGGUUGAGAUGAGUUACAUUUAAAGUGAUUAGUGGAGGGGGGUUUGAAAAGCUUUCUGAAAUUGGAUUUGUUAGUAAGUUUAUUAAGGUAAUGAGUUGUUAUGAAUGAAGCUCUAGGUCAUGUACACAUCGCCCGUCGCUCUUA
This 393-nucleotide ribosomal RNA is filed under the name Hesperopilio magnificus. Its description in RNAcentral is "partial 12S ribosomal RNA". The record is from RNAcentral. Lineage: Eukaryota; Metazoa; Arthropoda; Arachnida; Opiliones; Caddidae.